Asparagus officinalis (garden asparagus) is the source of this 129-nucleotide long non-coding RNA. RefSeq lists it as uncharacterized. The record is from RefSeq and is a predicted model, not a curated record. The transcript has 3 exons. NCBI's taxonomy places the organism in Eukaryota, Viridiplantae, Streptophyta, Magnoliopsida, Asparagales, Asparagaceae.
UCAAGUAUAUUGCUGGAGGGGCUACACAAAAUGCAAUCAGGGUUGCCCAUUGGAUGCUUCAAACUCCUGGUGCAACUAGCUUUAUGGGUUGCAUUGGAAAGGACAAGUUUGGUGAAGAAAUGAAGAUAG